Molecule: ribosomal RNA, 456 nt
Filed under: uncultured Acetobacteraceae bacterium
Lineage: Bacteria; Pseudomonadati; Pseudomonadota; Alphaproteobacteria; Acetobacterales; Acetobacteraceae
Description: bacterial SSU rRNA
Rfam family: Bacterial small subunit ribosomal RNA
Source: RNAcentral
CUUAGUGGCGGACGGGUGAGUAUCGCGUAGGGAUUUGUCGUUGGGUGGGGGAUAGCCUUGGGAAACCGGGGGUAAUACCGCAUGACGCCUGUGGGCCAAAGCCUGUGAGGGUGCCUGGCGAGGAGCCUGCGUCCGAUUAGCUAGUUGGUUGGGUAAUGGCUGACCAAGGCUGUGAUCGGUAGCUGGUCUGAGAGGAUGAUCAGCCACACUGGGACUGAGACACGGCCCAGACUCCUACGGGAGGCAGCAGUGGGGAAUAUUGGACAAUGGGCGCAAGCCUGAUCCAGCAAUGCCGCGUGGAUGAAGAAGGUUUUCGGAUUGUAAAGUCCUUUCGGCGGGGACGAUGAUGACGGUACCCGCAGAAGAAGCCCCGGCUAACUUCGUGCCAGCAGCCGCGGUAAUACGAAGGGGGCUAGCGUUGCUCGGAAUGACUGGGCGUAAAGGGCGCGUAGGCGG